UACAGAGGGUGCAAGCGUUAAUCGGAAUUACUGGGCGUAAAGCGUGCGUAGUCGGUUAUUUAAGUCGGAUGUGAAAUCCCUCGGCUCAACCGGGGAACGACGCAUGAAACUGGCAAGCUAGAGUACCAAAGAGGAGAGUGGAAUUCCUGGUGUAGCGGUGAAAUGCGCAGAUAUCAGGAAGAACACCCGUGGCGAAGGCGGCUCUCUGGAACGCAACUGACGCUGAGACGCGAAAGCGUGGGGAGCAAACAGG
This 253-nucleotide ribosomal RNA is filed under the name uncultured bacterium. RNAcentral's name for it is "partial 16S ribosomal RNA". It matches the Rfam family "Bacterial small subunit ribosomal RNA", at positions 524 to 776 of the family's 1533-position model. The record is from RNAcentral.